RNAcentral lists this ribosomal RNA (270 nucleotides) under uncultured bacterium. RNAcentral describes it as "partial 16S ribosomal RNA". It matches the Rfam family "Bacterial small subunit ribosomal RNA", at positions 32 to 312 of the family's 1533-position model. The record is from RNAcentral.
AAUCAACGCUGGCGGCGUGCCUAACACAUGCAAGUCGAACGAGAAAGUGGAGCAAUCCAUGAGUAAAGUGGCGCACGGGUGAGUAACACGUGACUAACCUACCCUGGAGUGGGGAAUAACUGAGGGAAACCUUAGCUAAUACCGCAUAACACCUACGGGUCAAAGGAGCAAUUCGCUUCAGGAGGGGGUCGCGGCAGAUUAGCUUGUUGGCGGGGUAAUGGCCCACCAAGGCAGUGAUCUGUAUCCGGCCUGAGAGGGCGCACGGACACA